GCAACUUGACUCUGAGAGCCUGCUGUCUCCACUGAAUUUGAUUAUGUGCUAUCAGGAGAAUCCAUCUACUGCCUGCAGCUGUCGAGCUCCUCUCCUGGACAUCCUAAACUCAAAUGGCAGGGAAAAAAAAAAACACUGCCAUCUAUUCUGACCUCUGAAGUCACCAUGCCCAUUAACUGAGGAUGAAGAAGACAGAAGGAAUACUGAAUGUCUGAAGAGAGAGAAAACGUUAUAAAAUUAUCCUUUCAAAAGACAGAAGAAUAAAUUCACUUGGCAAAUGUAAUAUGGACUUACCUGAGGUUUGAAGUCAUCUAAAAAGAAACCAAAAAUCAUGGUUUUGAGAUUUUGUCCAAAUUCCUUCAUUAUCUCAGCACUGCACUAGGAUACUAAUGAGUUUUCGGGAAUAGAAAACCCAAUGGAAUAUUAAAAUUGGAAAGAAGAGCUCGUUGAGUUAAUUUCACUGAAGUGCAUCACAACACACUGCACUGUUGUAAGAAUGAAUAUUCAAAUAGGAAUCUAGUCAUGGGAAAAUUAAUUAAGGAAAAUGUUAUUGCUAAUAUUUCUUUUUAUGAAUAUACAUAUGCAGAGACACACAACCAUCUAUUGGCUCCACACUGACAAUAAUAAAAGCUAAACAUUUAUGAGAGUCAAAUGUUCAAGAUCUCUUGCUGAGUUGGUGUUAAAAGAUUUUAAAUAAAAAAAUUAUGAUUCCAGA
This 715-nucleotide non-coding RNA is filed under the name Pan troglodytes (chimpanzee). The record is from RNAcentral. Lineage: Eukaryota; Metazoa; Chordata; Mammalia; Primates; Hominidae.